Molecule: ribosomal RNA, 497 nt
Filed under: uncultured bacterium
Lineage: Bacteria
Description: bacterial SSU rRNA
Rfam family: Bacterial small subunit ribosomal RNA
Source: RNAcentral
GAUCAUGGCUCAGGAUGAACGCUAGCUACAGGCUUAACACAUGCAAGUCGAGCGGAACUGCUCGGCAGUUAGCGGCAGACGGGUGAAUAACACGUAUCCAACCUUCCCCUUACUCGGGUAUAGCCUCGGGAAACUGAGAGUAAUCCCCGAUGUGGUGUACGCUUCGCAUGUAAUGCACACCAAAGAUUAAUCGGUAAGGGAUGGGGAUGCGUUCCAUUAGCUAGUAGGCGGGGUAACGGCCCACCUAGGCGAUGAUGGAUAGGGGUUCUGAGAGGAAGGUCCCCCACAUUGGAACUGCGACACGGUCCAAACUCCUACGGGAGGCAGCAGUGAGGAAUAUUGGUCAAUGGCCGAGAGGCUGAACCAGCCAAGUAGCGUGCAGGAAUGACGGCCCUACGGGUUGUAAACUGCUUUUGUGCGGGAAUAACGGUCGACACGUGUGUUGAUGUGCAUGUACCGUACGAAUAAGGAUCGGCUAACUCCGUGCCAGCAGCUGC